CCUACGGGGAGCAGCAGUGGGGAAUAUUGCACAAUGGGGGAAACCCUGAUGCAGCGACGCCGCGUGAGUGAAGAAGUAUUUCGGUACGUAAAGCUCUAUCAGCAGGGAAGAAAAUGACGGUACCUGACUAAGAAGCCCCGGCUAACUACGUGCCAGCAGCCGCGGUAAUACGGAGGGGGCAAGCGUUAUCCGGAUUUACUGGGUGUAAAGGGAGCGUAGACGGCAGCGCAAGUCUGGAGUGAAAUCCCAUGGCUUAACCAUGGAACUGCUUUGGAAACUGUGCAGCUAGAGUGCAGGAGAGGUAAGCGGAAUUCCUAGUGUAGCGGUGAAAUGCGUAGAUAUUAGGAGGAACACCAGUGGCGAAGGCGGCUUACUGGACUGUAACUGACGUUGAGGCUCGAAAGCGUGGGGAGCAAACAGGAUUAGAUACCCGAGUAGUC
RNAcentral lists this ribosomal RNA (440 nucleotides) under uncultured bacterium. RNAcentral describes it as "partial 16S ribosomal RNA". It matches the Rfam family "Bacterial small subunit ribosomal RNA", at positions 338 to 795 of the family's 1533-position model. The record is from RNAcentral.